AAUUAGUGCGAGAGGCCUGGGCUAGCACCUUGGAAAAAAAUAUCAUUGAUCAUUCGCUACAAUGGAACAGCGUCGCCGAAGUAGACCCUUUUCACACCAAACUAAAAAAACUGGGACACGCGUGCAGAUGCAGGCAUGACCACUGCACAGGACAGGGGGACCCUGCAUACCAGCUAGCAACGUUCAUCUGCUCCUAGCUCUCUGGCCUGGAAAAUACGAGCAGUACGUGCACGGUGCGCGCAUAUCGCCGUGACUUGGAGCCACGCGGACGGUCGGACUUCACACAUAAGAACACGCCGCGGACGAACAUCACCGAGGGAGCGGCCGAAAACCGCCGAGGAGGCUUUUUUUCCAGCCCAUCUCGAAAUGCUAGGCAGCUAGCUCGGCAGCUAGCCGCCGUGGCUACAUUGUUGUAGCAGAACGUAGACGCGCAUCCUCGGCCAGGAAGCCAGAGGGGCUGCAGGCUGGCCGGGAUGAGCAGCGGGACAACGGGGCUAACCUGGCAGAACUCCUGGCAGAAGUGCAGCGAGGCUUCCAGCGGAGACUGCGAGCUCUCCUUCAGAGCCGCGGUCAGACCCUGGAACCGCUCUCGGAGCUGCUCGAUAGCUUUCCGUGUGUCAUAUUCCUUCUCUGUCUCCCCCUCCGCCAUCUUCACAACAAUCACGACCGCGUACGCACAGAUGUUACGCCGCCAGACCCGCACACGCACGCGCACGCAGGGGUGGGGGGUGAGAGCACACAUUCACACACACACACACACACACACACAUACAUUUACCUCCCCCCAUGUCAACAAAGCAUCCAUGACCUGACUCACACAGGGUGGACGUGAUAUACUGUAUGUGUUCACCAGCUAAUCUCAGUGUAAUUUAGAUUUCUGGAUUUCCCUGAACGCCCCAUGUUAUACAGCCCAGGUAAAGAUACUGCUGGGUAAACUGUGACCCCCGGACAGUGAAAGUCAUCAAACAGACCUCAGCAAACCUCAGCUUGCACCAAAGUCUUUUAUAUUUUCUCUAAAGUUUCCAUCCAGCCCCCGAAUGUUCACACUCGAACAAUGUGCUUGCCUCUCUCGUCCCACAGACUGCAGGGUAAUCCUCGCAAUGGCCCUGAUGCAGUGUGACUUGCUCACUGACGCUUCAGCAUGGGCAGAUGUUCAUAAACAGAGGUCAGUCAGCGGAAAAAACUCUCGACCCAAAGGGCAGCAUGUAACCACAGGAUGUUACUCUGUAAGUGACGUACAGUAAAAGCGUUGUGAUCAUGUUUCUGAAAUAUGGACAUCGUGCUGUACAUGACGUGUGCCAUAGGCGUUUAAAUGUUAGUCACAGAAGAUGGAUAAAUUAACAGGUAGGGUUUGCCCUUCACUGCAUCUCGGCACAUCACAAACACAAGGUCGAUGCAUUUACUAAGAAUUACAUUUCAGAAUGAUUUAAAUUUCUGGAGCUGUUCUGAAGUUUUCAAUCACAUAGGAAUAAAAAAUCUUAACUCGUG
Molecule: long non-coding RNA, 1488 nt
Organism: Scophthalmus maximus (turbot)
Lineage: Eukaryota; Metazoa; Chordata; Actinopteri; Pleuronectiformes; Scophthalmidae
Exons: 2
Source: RefSeq, a predicted model, not a curated record